AAAAACCCAAAUACAACCAACAGUGUAUAUCAGAUAAUAUAGUUCUCAAAUCAUUAAAAUUCUAAUUUGCUUCUUCAUGCAAUAAAAAGGCAAAAAUAUGAAAAACCAAAUCAAACGUGAUACACCAACACCAUCAGCAGCAGAACAAUAUCAAAACCCAUAUUACAAUAGCAGAACAAAAUGCUCUGCAUAAUUAGUUGAUACCCAAUUCAACAGCAGCAGCAAAGAAUCUUUGUCGUCGAUUCAAAAUCGCAAAACCCCAUAACCCAAACUCUUAAAACCUAACUAUACAAAAUAAUCCUUGCCAACCCCAGAGCUAAAUAGUUAUAAGGAUAUGAGUUGCAAAAAUACCUUGCGUUGCGAUUGCGGCUUGCUAACCUUGCGAGCAACAGAAUUCGUCCUCAACGAGCUUGGUGUGGAGAUGGCCGCUCGUGAAUGAGAAGACAAGGAGAAGAAAGCUGCGAUGGCCGAAGAAUGAUUGAGGAAUAAAAAUGAGCUUAGGAAUUCGAAGGGGAGAUGCGAUGUGGGAUUUGGGCUACUGCGAAGAAGGAAGGAGGAGAAGAAGGAAGAUGAGACGAAACGGUGAGUAUGGUGUCAAAACGGUGCGUUUUGAUACCUUGGGUUAAGUUAACCCAAUAAUGAUUAGACUCACUUUAAUAUUUUUUUUUUUUAUUUAAAACCCUAGCAGAAUUUGCAUUUAGGAUGGUAUUAAUACAAACUUUUCAAUUUGGAGUGCUAUGCAUGAAUGUCAAUUUAGAGUGAUUCUCCAACAAUUCGCAUGAAUCAAUGUUUUUUAUAGAUUAAACCACUGGAUUAAUCAGCUUAUAUGUAUAUAUCCUUCACCCAAUCCUCCCUGUCUCUCCGCUCCUAAUUGCAAGGCCGAAC
RNAcentral lists this long non-coding RNA (885 nucleotides) under Jatropha curcas. RNAcentral describes it as "long non-coding RNA (JCUR_LNC000882)". Lineage: Eukaryota; Viridiplantae; Streptophyta; Magnoliopsida; Malpighiales; Euphorbiaceae. The record is from RNAcentral.